RNAcentral lists this ribosomal RNA (566 nucleotides) under uncultured archaeon. RNAcentral's name for it is "bacterial SSU rRNA". It matches the Rfam family "Archaeal small subunit ribosomal RNA", at positions 312 to 879 of the family's 1478-position model. The record is from RNAcentral.
CGCGAAUCGCCCUUGGGGUGCACCAGGCGCGAAAACUUUACAAUGCCGGCAACGGCGAUAAGGGGACCUCGAGUGCCAGGUUACAAAUCUGGCUGUCGUGAUGCCUAAAAAGCAUUGCAUAGCAAGGGCCGGGCAAGACCGGUGCCAGCCGCCGCGGUAACACCGGCGGCUCGAGUGGUAACCGUUAUUAUUGGGUCUAAAGGGUCUGUAGCCGGCCGGAUAAGUCUCUUGGGAAAUCCAGCAGCUCAACUGUUGGGCUUUCAGGAGAUACUGUCUGGCUCGAGGCCGGGAGAGGUGAGAGGUACUUCAGGGGUAGGGGUGAAAUCUUGUAAUCCUUGAAGGACCACCAGUGGCGAAGGCGUCUCACCAGAACGGACCUGACGGCAAGGGACGAAAGCUAGGGGCACGAACCGGAUUAGAUACCCGGGUAGUCCUAGCCGUAAACGAUACUCGCUAGGUGUCGGCCACGGUGCGACCGUUGUCGGUGCCGUAGGGAAGCCGUGAAGCGAGCCACCUGGGAAGUACGGCCGCAAGGCUGAAACUUAAAGGAAUUGGCGGGGGAGCAC